This 326-nucleotide ribosomal RNA is filed under the name uncultured eukaryote. Its description in RNAcentral is "partial 18S ribosomal RNA". It matches the Rfam family "Eukaryotic small subunit ribosomal RNA", at positions 1470 to 1796 of the family's 1831-position model. The record is from RNAcentral.
CCCUUAGAUGUUCUGGGCCGCACGCGCGCUACACUGAUGCAUUCAACGAGCCUAGCCUUGACCGAGAGGUCCGGGUAAUCUUUGAAACUGCAUCGUGAUGGGGCUAGAUUAUUGCAAUUAUUAAUCUUCAACGAGGAAUGCCUAGUAAGCGUGAUUCAUCAAAUCGCGUUGAUUACGUCCCUGCCCUUUGUACACACCACCCGUCGCUCCUACCGAUUGAGUGUGUUGGUGAGGAGUUUGGAUUGGCCUCGGAAGGUGGUUCGCCACCGUCCGUAGCUGAGAAGUUCUCCAAACCGCCCCACUUAGAGGAAGGAGAAGUCGUAACA